RNAcentral lists this ribosomal RNA (420 nucleotides) under uncultured eukaryote. RNAcentral describes it as "SSU rRNA". It matches the Rfam family "Eukaryotic small subunit ribosomal RNA", at positions 438 to 879 of the family's 1831-position model. The record is from RNAcentral.
AAAUUACCCAAUCCUGAUUCAGGGAGGUAGUGACAAGAAAUAACAACUCGGGGCCUCACGGCUUACGAGAUUGCAAUGAGAACAAUUUAAAUCUCUUAGCGAGGAACAAUUGGAGGGCAAGUCUGGUGCCAGCAGCCGCGGUAAUUCCAGCUCCAAUAGCGUAUAUUAAAAGUUGUUGCAGUUAAAAAGCUCGUAGUUGAAUUUCUGAUUAUGGAUGUAGCGGUUUCCGUUACAUUUGUAGUCAUCCACAUGAGAACCUUUCUCGGCCUUCACUGGUCGGUUGGGGGAUCAUGUACUUUACUUUGAAAAAUCAGAGUGUUUCAGGCAGGCGUUUGCAUGAAUACACAAGCAUGGAAUAAUGGAAUAGGACUAGGGUCCAUUUUUAUUGGUUAUUGGACCAUAGUAAUGAUUAAUAGGGAC